GACGUAGGGGGCGAGCGUUAUCCGGAUUUACUGGGCGUAAAGGGUCCGCAGGCGGGUGUCCAAGUUCCAGCUGACAGUCCUCGGCUUAACCGGGGAAGGCGUUGGAAAACUGGUCACCUUGAGACAGCGAGAGGCAGAGGGAAUUCCGUGUGGAGCAGUGAAAUGCGUAGAGAUGCGGAAGAACACCAGAGGCGAAGGCGCUCUGCUGGCGCUGAUCUGACGCUGAGGGACGAAAGCUAGGGGAG
RNAcentral lists this ribosomal RNA (245 nucleotides) under uncultured bacterium. RNAcentral's name for it is "partial 16S ribosomal RNA". It matches the Rfam family "Bacterial small subunit ribosomal RNA", at positions 524 to 768 of the family's 1533-position model. The record is from RNAcentral.